AGUGAACGCUGGCGGUAGGCCUAACACAUGCAAGUCGAACGGCAGCACAGUAAGAGCUUGCUCUUACGGGUGGCGAGUGGCGGACGGGUGAGGAAUACAUCGGAAUCUACUUUUUCGUGGGGGAUAACGUAGGGAAACUUACGCUAAUACCGCGUACGACCUACGGGUGAAAGCAGGGGAUCUUCGGACCUUGCGCGAUUGAAUGAGCCGAUGUCGGAUUAGCUAGUUGGCGGGGUAAAGGCCCACCAAGGCGACGAUCCGUAGCUGGUCUGAGAGGAUGAUCAGCCACACUGGACCUGAGACACGGUCCAGGCUCCUACGGGAGGCAGCAGUGGGGAAUAUUGGACAAUGGGCGCAAGCCUGCUCCAGCCAUACCGCGUGGGUGAAGAAGGCCUUCGGGUUGUAAAGCCCUUUUGUUGGGAAAGAAAAGCAGCAGGUUAAUACCCCGCUGUUCUGACGGUACCCAAAGAAUAAGCACCGGCUAACUUCGUG
This 492-nucleotide ribosomal RNA is filed under the name uncultured bacterium. RNAcentral's name for it is "partial 16S ribosomal RNA". It matches the Rfam family "Bacterial small subunit ribosomal RNA", at positions 29 to 507 of the family's 1533-position model. The record is from RNAcentral.